Molecule: transfer RNA, 67 nt
Filed under: Pedipes pedipes
Lineage: Eukaryota; Metazoa; Mollusca; Gastropoda; Ellobiida; Ellobiidae
Description: tRNA-Arg
Source: RNAcentral
ACCUAAAAAGCGAUAAGUUCGCGCUAAGUUUCGGCCUUAGUUUUGAGUAGAAAGUUCUCUUUAGGUU